RNAcentral lists this ribosomal RNA (1588 nucleotides) under Coptosoma japonicum. Its description in RNAcentral is "partial 16S rRNA". Lineage: Eukaryota; Metazoa; Arthropoda; Insecta; Hemiptera; Plataspidae. The record is from RNAcentral.
UUAUUUUGAGUGUGAAAUUGGAAAUUCUUAUAAAAUUGUUAGUUAAGAACUUUAAAUUAAAAGAAUUUGACGGUAAUUAUAUCAUUUCAGAGGAACCUGUCCUGUAAUUGAUAAUCCACGAUAAAUUUUACCUUAUUUGUUAAGUUGUAUAUCUCUGUCUGAGGAAUGUUCUUCAAGGGUUUAAAAUUUUCUUUUCCUUUAAUUAGUUUUAUGUCAGGUCAAGGUGCACUUUUAUUAAGGGUUGAGAUGGGUUACAUUAAUUUAAAAUUAUGGAUUUCUACAUUUUAUUUAUGGAUUGAAAUAGGAUUUGAAUGUAAUUCAUAUUAUAUUUUAUUUAUGAUAUUUGCUCUAUAUUAAGUACACAUCGCCCGUCGCUCUCGUUGUUUAAAAUAUUAAAAUGAGAUAAGUCGUAACAAAGUAGGCCUAUCGGAAGGUGGGCCUGGAAUUAUUCAAAUUAACCUGAGAGGAGUCAGUUUUUUACAUUAACUGAAUAUUUGUGCAAUUCAAAUUGAUUUGAUAAUUUAAAAUAUUUAAUUAAUUUUUUAUUUAUUAUUUCAUUAAUAGAAAUAACUUUAAUUUUGUAUUAGUAUUUUUAUAAAAAUUAUUAUUAAUUAUUGAUAGUUUAUUUUACUGUGAAGGUUUAUAUAUUUAAAAAUUUACAAGUAGGAAUUAUUUUUGUACCUUUUGCAUCAGGGUUUAUUAAUUUAGGUUAAUUAAUCAUUAGUUUUCCCGAAAUUAUAAGAGAUACCUCAACAUGACUUUUAUUGUUUUAAAACUAUGGAUAAUGUUGAGAUAGGGAAUAUAUUUUAUUCAAUUAUAAAUAUCUGGUUUCUUGAGAAUUGAAUUUAAUUCAGAAUUAUUUUUUUAGAUUAAAAUUUUAUUUUUAGGGAUAUAAUUUAAUAUUAUAGGGGAUAAGCUCUGUAAUAAUUUUAUAGGCAAUAUAAGUAUAUUUAAUUUUUAUAGGUUUAAUAAUGUCCAUUAAUUUAUUUUGUUAUAAUGAUAUUUAAAUUUAUUUUUAUUUUAAAUUAGCCUUAAUUUUUUAUCAGGAUUUUUAAUUUAAUAUUUUAUUUAAGGUAAUAAUGAUAGAAUUAGUAAUUUUUAUAUUUUAUAUACAGUAAUUCGGCAAAUUUUACUUUCACCUGUUUAUCAAAAACAUGUCCUAUUGUGAAUAUAAUAUUAGGUCAGGCCUGCUCAAUGAUUAUAUUAAAUAGCCGCAGUAUUUUGACUGUGCAAAGGUAGCAUAAUCAUUUGUCUCUUAAUUGGGGGCUUGUAUGAAAGGUUUAAUGAGAAAUAUACUUUCUUUAUAUAAGGGAAUGAAUUUAACAUUUAGGUUAAAAGGCUUAAAUGCUUUUAUGGGACGGGAAGACCCUAUAGAAAUUUACUGUUUUUAUCGAAAAAAUUUUAAUUAAAUUAUAAAUUAAUUUGAUAAGAGUAGUUUUGUUGGGGCGACAUGAAGAUUUUAUUAACUCUUAAAAUUAAAAUUUUAUUGAUGGAUAUUUUUAUUGAUCCUUUAUUAAGGAUUUAAAGAAUAAUUUACCUUAGGGAUAACAGCGUAAUUUUUUCGGAGAGUUCCUAUUGAUGAAAGAGA